RNAcentral lists this ribosomal RNA (253 nucleotides) under Acetivibrio sp. Its description in RNAcentral is "partial 16S ribosomal RNA". It matches the Rfam family "Bacterial small subunit ribosomal RNA", at positions 524 to 776 of the family's 1533-position model. The record is from RNAcentral. Lineage: Bacteria; Bacillati; Bacillota; Clostridia; Acetivibrionales; Acetivibrionaceae.
UACGUAGGUGGCGAGCGUUGUCCGGAAUUACUGGGUGUAAAGGGCGUGUAGGCGGGGAUGUAAGUCAGAUGUGAAAUUCCCAGGCUCAACUUGGGCGCUGCAUCUGAAACUAUAUCUCUUGAGUGCUGGAGAGGAAAGCGGAAUUCCUAGUGUAGCGGUGAAAUGCGUAGAUAUUAGGAGGAACACCAGUGGCGAAGGCGGCUUUCUGGACAGUAACUGACGCUGAGGCGCGAAAGCGUGGGGAGCAAACAGG